GGAGAUGUGGCUCAAUGGUAGAGUGUUUGCUUAGCAUGUACAAGGCCCUGGGUUCAACCCCCAGUAACCCCC
Molecule: transfer RNA, 72 nt
Filed under: Marmota marmota marmota (Alpine marmot)
Lineage: Eukaryota; Metazoa; Chordata; Mammalia; Rodentia; Sciuridae
Also listed under: 1 other name
Rfam family: tRNA
About the family: Transfer RNA (tRNA) molecules are approximately 80 nucleotides in length. Their secondary structure includes four short double-helical elements and three loops (D, anti-codon, and T loops).
Source: Rfam by way of RNAcentral